CUUAUGCAACUCUCAAUAUAACUUUUGCCUCUAAAAUACUUAUAGCCUUAUGAAUAGCAGAAUAAAUUAUAGUAUUUUAGUUAAGUCAUACCAUUAUAUCCUAUAUGAUCAUAUCUAAAUAGUACUAUCUUUGUGGAUAGCACAACAAGACAGCACUAUCAAAAUAUGCUAUAAGCAUCACUAAGUCAACAUCAUAUCAAUUCCUAUAGCAAGCCUUGUGGAUAGCACAACAAACUCACUACAAUCUUUGACAUAUUCUAUUGACUUAGUAUGAGCUAAGUAACAUUAGCUUCAUUAUGCACCA
Molecule: long non-coding RNA, 304 nt
Filed under: Elaeis guineensis (African oil palm)
Lineage: Eukaryota; Viridiplantae; Streptophyta; Magnoliopsida; Arecales; Arecaceae
Description: long non-coding RNA (EGUI_LNC009243)
Source: RNAcentral